Molecule: ribosomal RNA, 301 nt
Filed under: uncultured bacterium
Lineage: Bacteria
Description: partial 16S ribosomal RNA
Rfam family: Bacterial small subunit ribosomal RNA
Source: RNAcentral
CAGUAGCCGCGGGAAUACGAAGGGGGCUAGCGUUGUUCGGAUUUACUGGGCGUAAAGCGCACGUAGGCGGACUUUUAAGUCAGGGGUGAAAUCCCGGGGCUCAACCCCGGAACUGCCUUUGAUACUGGAGGUCUUGAGUAUGGUAGAGGUGAGUGGAAUUCCGAGUGUAGAGGUGAAAUUCGUAGAUAUUCGGAGGAACACCAGUGGCGAAGGCGGCUCACUGGACCAUUACUGACGCUGAGGUGCGAAAGCGUGGGGAGCAAACAGGAUUAGAUACCCGCGUAGUCCCUGUCUCUUAUAC